UGGGGAAUCUUGGACAAUGGGGGCAACCCUGAUCCAGCGACGCCGCGUGGGUGGUAAGGCCUUAGGGUUGUAAAAUUCUUUCAACGGUGACGAUAAUGACGGUAGCCGUAGAAGAAGCCCCGGCUAACUUCGUGCCAGCAGCCGCGGUAAUACGAAGGGGGCUAGCGUUGUUCGGAAUUACUGGGCGUAAAGCGCGCGUAGGCGGAUUCUUAAGCCAGAUGUGAAAUCCCGGGGCUCAACCCCGGAACUGCAUUUGGAACUGGGAGUCUAGAGGUCAGGAGAGGUUCGUGGAAUGCCGAGUGUAGAGGUGAAAUUCGUAGAUAUUCGGUGGAACACCAGUGGCGAAGGCGACGAACUGGACUGAUACUGACGCUGAGGUGCGAAAGUGUGGGGAGCAAACAGGAUUAGAUACCCGGGUAGUCC
This 423-nucleotide ribosomal RNA is filed under the name uncultured prokaryote. RNAcentral's name for it is "bacterial SSU rRNA". It matches the Rfam family "Bacterial small subunit ribosomal RNA", at positions 355 to 796 of the family's 1533-position model. The record is from RNAcentral.